Molecule: ribosomal RNA, 339 nt
Filed under: uncultured Leptolinea sp.
Lineage: Bacteria; Bacillati; Chloroflexota; Anaerolineae; Anaerolineales; Anaerolineaceae
Description: bacterial SSU rRNA
Rfam family: Bacterial small subunit ribosomal RNA
Source: RNAcentral
UAGAACAGGUGCUGCAUGGCUGUCGUCAGCUCGUGUCGUGAGAUGUUCGGUUAAGUCCGCUAACGAGCGCAACCCUCGCUGUGUGUUAUAUGUGUCACACGGGACUGCCGGUCUUAAGCCGGAGGAAGGUGGGGAUGAUGUCAAGUCAGCAUGGCCUUUAUAUCCUGGGCUACACACACGCUACAAUGGCCAACACAAUAGGUUGCUAAGCCGCGAGGUGGCGCCAAAUCCAUAAAGUUGGUCUCAGUUCAGAUUGUAGGCUGCAACCCGCCUGCAUGAAGAUGGAGUUGCUAGUAACCGCAGGUCAGCUAUACUGCGGUGAAUACGUUCCCGGGGCUU